Molecule: ribosomal RNA, 618 nt
Filed under: Tremellales sp.
Lineage: Eukaryota; Fungi; Basidiomycota; Tremellomycetes; Tremellales
Description: partial large subunit ribosomal RNA
Rfam family: Eukaryotic large subunit ribosomal RNA
Source: RNAcentral
AAGCGGAGGAAAAGAAACUAACAAGGAUUCCCCUAGUAACGGCGAGUGAACCGGGAUGAGCUCAAAUUUGUAAUCUGGCGUGCUCCGCGCGUCCGAGUUGUAAUCUAUAGAAGCGUUUUCCGUGCCGGACCGUGUCCAAGUCCCUUGGAACAGGGUAUCAAAGAGGGUGACAAUCCCGUACUUGACACGACGACCGGUGCUCUGUGAUACGUUUUCUACGAGUCGAGUUGUUUGGGAAUGCAGCUCAAAACGGGUGGUAAAUUCCAUCUAAGGCUAAAUAUUGGCGAGAGACCGAUAGCGAACAAGUACCGUGAGGGAAAGAUGAAAAGCACUUUGGAAAGAGAGUUAAACAGUACGUGAAAUUGUUGAAAGGGAAACGAUUGAAGUCAGUCGUGUCCAAGGGAUUCAGCCGGUUCUUCCGGUCUACUUCUCUUGGACGGGUCAACAUCAGUUUUGGCCGGUGGAUAAAGGCUGGAGGAAUGUGGCACCCUCGGGUGUGUUAUAGCCUCCUGUCACAUACAUCGGCCGAGACUGAGGAAUGCAGCUCGCCUCACGGCCGGGGUUCGCCCACGUACGAGCUUAGGAUGUUGACAUAAUGGCUUUAAACGACCCGUCUUG